Ailuropoda melanoleuca (giant panda) is the source of this 84-nucleotide non-coding RNA. The record is from Rfam. NCBI's taxonomy places the organism in Eukaryota, Metazoa, Chordata, Mammalia, Carnivora, Ursidae.
GCCUGGGUGGCAUAGCGGUUAAAGCGUCUGCCUUCGGCUCAGGGCGUGAUUCCGGCGUUAUGGGAUCGAGCCCCACCUCAGGCU